This 269-nucleotide long non-coding RNA is filed under the name Mytilus galloprovincialis (Mediterranean mussel). Lineage: Eukaryota; Metazoa; Mollusca; Bivalvia; Mytilida; Mytilidae. The record is from RNAcentral.
AGUCAACAUGACUGAAAUGGUCAAUUAACCCCCUAAGGAGUUAUUGUCCUUUAUAGUCAAUUUUUAACAAUUUUUAUAAAAUUUGUAAAUUUUUACUAACAUUUACCACUGAAACUACUGGGCAAAGUUCAUUAUAGAUAGAGAUAACUGUAAGCAGCAAGAAUGGUCAGUAAAGUAAGACGUACAAACACAUCACCAUCACCAAAACACAAUUUUGUCAUGAAUCCAUCUGCUUUGUUUAAUAUUCACAUAGACCAAGGUGAGCGACA